CCUACGGGGGGCUGCAGUGGGGAAUAUUGGACAAUGGGGGGAACCCUGAUCCAGCCAUGCCGCGUGUGUGAAGAAGGCCCUCGGGUUGUAAAGCACUUUCAGUGAGGAAGAACGCCUGGUGGUUAAUACCCAUCAGGAAAGACAUCACUCACAGAAGAAGCACCGGCUAACUCCGUGCCAGCAGCCGCGGUAAGACGGAGGGUGUGAGCGUUAAUCGGAAUUACUGGGCGUAAAGCGCGCGUAGGUGGCUUGAUAAGCCGGUUGUGAAAGCCCCGGGCUCAACCUGGGAACGGCAUCCGGAACUGUCAAGCUAGAGUGCAGGAGAGGAAGGUAGAAUUCCCGGUGUAGCGGUGAAAUGCGUAGAGAUCGGGAGGAAUACCAGUGGCGAAGGCGGCCUUCUGGACUGACACUGACACUGAGGUGCGAAAGCGUGGGUAGCAAACAGGAUUAGAUACCCCAGUAGUC
RNAcentral lists this ribosomal RNA (465 nucleotides) under Vreelandella stevensii. RNAcentral describes it as "partial 16S ribosomal RNA". It matches the Rfam family "Bacterial small subunit ribosomal RNA", at positions 338 to 795 of the family's 1533-position model. The record is from RNAcentral. Lineage: Bacteria; Pseudomonadati; Pseudomonadota; Gammaproteobacteria; Oceanospirillales; Halomonadaceae.